RNAcentral lists this ribosomal RNA (494 nucleotides) under uncultured bacterium. RNAcentral's name for it is "partial 16S ribosomal RNA". It matches the Rfam family "Bacterial small subunit ribosomal RNA", at positions 28 to 507 of the family's 1533-position model. The record is from RNAcentral.
GACGAACGCUGGCGGCGUGCUUAACACAUGCAAGUCGAACGGUGAAGCGCCUUCCCUUUUGGUGGGUGUGGAUGAGUGGCGAACGGGUGAGUAACACGUGAGUAACCUGCCCCCUUCUUCUGGAUAACCGCAUGAAAGUGUGGCUAAUACGGGAUAUUCUGGGUCUGUCGCAUGAUGGGUCUGGGAAAGAUAUUGUUUCGGUGGGGGAUGGGCUCGCGGCCUAUCAGCUUGUUGGGGGGGUGAUGGCCUACCAAGGCGGUGCCGGGUAGCCGGCCUGGGAGGGUGGACGGUCACACUGGGACUGAGACACGGCCCAGACUCCUACGGGAGGCAGCAGUGGGGAAUAUUGCACAAUGGGCGCAAGCCUGAUGCAGCGACGCCGCGUGAGGGAUGGAGGCCUUCGGGUUGUGAACCUCUUUCGCCAGUGAAGCAGGCCUGCCUCGUUUGUGGGUGGGUUGACGGUAGCUGGAUAAGAAGCGCCGGCUAACUACGUG